GGGCUGCAGUGAGGAAUUUUGCGCAAUGGGGGAAACCCUGACGCAGCAACGCCGCGUGGGUGAAGAAGGCCUUCGGGUCGUAAAGCCCUGUCAAGCGGGAAGAACCCUCCGGAAGCGAAUAACUUCCGGAGCUGACGGUACCGCUGAAGGAAGCACCGGCUAACUCCGUGCCAGCAGCCGCGGUAAUACGGAGGGUGCAAGCGUUAUUCGGAAUCAUUGGGUGUAAAGCGCGUGUAGGCGGCUUGGUAAGUCAGAUGUGAAAUCUCCGGGCUUAACCCGGAAAGUGCAUUUGAAACUGCUUGGCUUGAGUUCGGGAGAGGAAGGUGGAAUUCCCAGUGUAGAGGUGAAAUUCGUAGAUAUUGGGAGGAACACCGGUGGCGAAGGCGACCUUCUGGACCGUGACUGACGCUGAGACGCGAAAGCGUGGGGAGCAAACAGGAUUAGAUACCCCUGUAGUC
Molecule: ribosomal RNA, 458 nt
Filed under: uncultured microorganism
Description: bacterial SSU rRNA
Rfam family: Bacterial small subunit ribosomal RNA
Source: RNAcentral